RNAcentral lists this ribosomal RNA (530 nucleotides) under Anyphops parvulus. RNAcentral's name for it is "partial 16S ribosomal RNA". The stretch from base 98 to 397 matches the Rfam family "Archaeal large subunit ribosomal RNA", at positions 2151 to 2715 of the family's 2987-position model. The record is from RNAcentral. Lineage: Eukaryota; Metazoa; Arthropoda; Arachnida; Araneae; Selenopidae.
UUUAAAUGAAGACCAGAACAAAAGAUAAAACAUUUCAAUUAAUUUCUUAAACUAAUUACUCAAAAUUAUCCUAAAUGUAAAAAGACUUUUUUACAAAAGAAAGACGACUAGACCCUAUGGAACUUUACUAUGGUUUAACUGGGGCAGUUAAUUAAUUAAUACUUUAAUAAUAUUCCCAACAAACAUGAUCCAAUAACAUUGGUUAAAUAAUCAGGUUACCAUAGGGAUAACAGCGUAAUAAAUCUUUAAAGACCUUAUAUAAAUAUGAGCUUACGACCUCGAUGUUGAAUUAAUUACCUAAUUAACGCAAAAGUUAUUAAAGGAAGUCUGUUCGACUUUUAAAAAAUUACAUGAUUUGAGUUCAGACCGGUAUAAGCCAGGUCGGUUUCCAUCUUCUCAUUACUCUUUACGGUACGAAAGGGCCUAAGGAAAUAAUAUAAUUAUAUUAUUGACGGAACAAUGUGGUAGAAUUAGAAUCUAAUAAAGAUACAAUUAUAUUUACCAUCUCAUAUCUCAUCAUUACAAUUAGA